Molecule: long non-coding RNA, 1451 nt
Filed under: Anas platyrhynchos platyrhynchos (common mallard)
Lineage: Eukaryota; Metazoa; Chordata; Aves; Anseriformes; Anatidae
Description: lncRNA (ENSAPLG00000018921.1)
Source: RNAcentral
NNNNNNNNNNNNNNNNNNNNNNNNNNNNNNNNNNNNNNNNNNNNNNNNNNNUCGGAGGGCUGACUUUGGGCUGCUCAGGACACUAGUUGGUGGAGUCCCUUGGGAGGCGGUUCUGAAGGGCAGAGGGGUCCAGGAAGGCUGGGCGCUCUUCAAGAGGGAAAUCCUAAUGGCGCAGGAGCGGUCUGUUCCCAUGUGCUCAAAGACGAGCCAGCGGGGAAGAAGACCAGCCUGGCUCAACAGAGAACUGUGGCUUGAGCUUAGGAGAAAAAAGAGGGUUUAUAAUCUUUGGAAAAGUGGGCAGACUACUAGGGAGGACUAUAAGGAUGUAGCGAGGCUGUGCAGGGACAAAAUUAGGAAGGCCAAAGCUCAUCUGGAGCUCAGUCUGGCUACUGCUGUUAAAGAUAAACGUUUUUAUAAAUACAUCAACACAAAAAGGAGGACUAAGGAGAAUCUCCAUCCUUUACUGGAUGCGGGGGGAAACUUAGUUACAAGAGAUGAGGAAAAGGCGGAGGUGCUUAAUGCCUUCUUCGUCUCAGUCUUUAGCGGCAAUACCGGUUGUUCUCUGGAUACCCAGUACCCUGAGCUGGUGGAAGGGGAUGGGGAGCAGGAUGUGGCCCUCACUAUCCAUGAAGAACUGGUUGGUGACUUGCUACGGCACUUGGAUGUGCACAAAUCAAUGGGGCCGGAUGGGAUCCACCCAAGGGUACUGAGAGAACUGGCGGAGGAGCUGGCCAAGCCCCUAUCCAUCAUUUAUCAGCAGUCCUGGCUAUCGGGGGAGGUCCCAGUUUACUGGCGGCUAGCAAAUGUGACGCCCGUCUACAAGAAGGGCCGGAGGGCAGACCCGGGAAACUACAGGCCUGUCAGUUUGACCUCAGUACCAGGGAAGCUCAUGGAGCAGAUCCUCUUGGGAGUCAUCAUGCGGCACUUGCAGGGCAAGCAGGCGAUCAGGCCCAGUCAGCAUGGGUUUAUGGAAGGCAGAUCCUGCUUGAUGAACCUGAUCUCCUUCUAUGACAAAGUGACGCGCUGGGUGGACGAGGGAAAGGCUGUGGAUGUGGUCUACCUUGACUUCAGCAAGGCAUUUGACACCGUCUCCCACAGCAUUCUCCUCAAGAAACUGACUGCUCUUGACUUGGACUAGCGCACGCUUCGUUGGGUUAGCAACUGGCUGGAUAGCCGGGCCCAAAGAGUCGUGGUAAAUGGAGUCAAGUCCAGUUGGAGGCCAGUCACUAGUGGCGUCCCCCAGGGCUCGGUGCUGGGGCCGGUCCUCUUUAAUAUCUUCAUCAAUGAUCUGGACAAGGGCAUUGAGGGCACCCUCAGUAAGUUUGCAGAUGACACCAAGCUAUGGGCAUGUGUCGAUCUGCUCGAGGGUAGAAAAGCUCUGCAGGAGGAUCUGGAUAGGCUGCACCGAUGGGCUGAGGUCAACUGCAUGAAGUUCAACAAGGCCAAGUGCC